AUUACAUUAAGAUAAAAAGGGAACAAAAUGAGGUUGAAGAACAAAUCCAGGAAUCUAACGACUAUACGUUGCUAUCCAGGACGCAGAUGCUCAUUUUCAGUUCUCUUAUGGAGUAUAGUCGGUUGCCUUGUUUUACUUAAUCUAUAUUGCUUUAUUUUCGAAAAGGAUGCACCGCAUGGGGGUGCACACUUACGUAUUAACCAGCACCAACACUUUCGUGAGCUUGAAGAGGUUGAGGAGGAUAAUAUACAGAUGCCACCACCAAGGAAGCGAUCCGCACGUGCUGUCAAACGGAAGCCUAAGCGACCAACCACCUUGAUUGAAGAAUUUCUUGACGAGGCUUCGCAGCUAAGGCAUGUCUUUUUUCCUGGUCUAAGAACUGCAAUAGAUCCUCGUAGGAGUUCUGGAAAUGAUACCUAUUAUUAUUACCCUGGAAGAAUGUGGUUGGAUACUGAGGGAAACCCCAUACAAGCUCAUGGGGGAGGUAUUCUACACGAUCAGAGAACAAAAAUGUAUUAUUGGUACGGUGAGUAUAAAGAUGGGCCAACGUAUCAUGCUCACAAAAAAGGAGCAGCACGAGUUGAUGUUAUCGGUGUUGGUUGCUAUUCAUCCAAAGAUUUGUGGACUUGGAAAAAUGAAGGAAUUGUUUUGGCAGCAGAAGAACAUAAUGAGACACAUGAUUUGUACAAGUUAAAUGUACUGGAGAGGCCAAAAGUAAUUUACAAUGAGAAGACAGGUAAAUAUGUAAUGUGGAUGCAUAUUGAUGAUACAAACUACACAAAAGCUUUGACUGGCGUAGCCAUAAGCGACCUCCCCACUGGUCCAUUUAAUUAUCUGUACAGUAAACGGCCCCACGGAUAUGAAAGCAGGGAUAUGACACUCUUCAAAGAUGAUGAUGGUGUCGCAUACCUCGUUUACUCCUCAGAGGACAACAGUGAGCUUCAUAUUGGUCCACUUAAUGAAGAGUACAUGGACGUGACCCAAUCCAUGAGAAGGAUUCUUGUUGGACAACACAGGGAAGCCCCUGCUUUGUUCAAACAUGAAGGAACCUAUUACAUGAUCACGUCAGGUUGCACUGGUUGGGCUCCGAACGAGGCCCUAGCUCAUGCAGCUGAAUCAAUUAUGGGGCCAUGGGAGACCAUUGGAAAUCCGUGCAUCGGUGGG
This 1164-nucleotide unclassified non-coding RNA is filed under the name Hevea brasiliensis (rubber tree). Lineage: Eukaryota; Viridiplantae; Streptophyta; Magnoliopsida; Malpighiales; Euphorbiaceae. The record is from RNAcentral.